RNAcentral lists this ribosomal RNA (1403 nucleotides) under metagenome. RNAcentral's name for it is "bacterial SSU rRNA". It matches the Rfam family "Archaeal small subunit ribosomal RNA". The record is from RNAcentral.
GCUGGAGGUUGCGGCUAUUUGGCUUGGGCUUAGAUAUGCAAGUUUUUUGCCGUCGUAAGAUAGGUGAAAGCGAACUGUUCAGUAACACGUAGCUAACCUGCCCCUAGGUUAAGGAUAAUCACGGGAAACUGUGCCUAAUACUUAAUAGGAGUUUUUUUCUGGAAAGGAAUUACUCUGAAACUUGUGCCUAAGGAUGGGGCUGCGGUCGAUUAGCUUGUUGGUGGGGUAACUGCCUACCAAGGCUAUGAUCGAUAAGGGCUCUUAGCGGAGUUGCCCUGAGAAGGAAUCUGAGACACUAUUCCUAGCUCUACGGAGCGCGGCAGCCACGAAUCUUUUACAAUGCACGAAAGUGUGAUAAAGCGAGCCAAAGUGCUUUUCGUACAGAAAAGCUUUUCUUCACUCUAAAAAGGCGGAGGAAUAAGGACUGGGUAAAACUAGUGCCAGCCGCCGCGGUAAUACUAGUGGUCCGAGUCGCAACCGUUUUUAUUGGGUCUAAAACAUCCGUAGCUUGUUUAAUAAGUUCUCUGUGAAAUCUUACAUCUCAAGUGUAAGGCGUGCAGAGAAUACUAUUAUGCUAGAGACCGGUAGAUGUAAGGAGUAUGUUCAAGGUAGCGGUUAAAUGUGUUAAUCUUGAGCAGACUAACAAUUAGCGAAGGCACCUUACAAGGACGGAUCUGACAGUGAGGGAUGAAGGCCAGGGGCGCAAAACGGAUUAGAUACCCGUGUAGUCCUGGCAGUAAACACUGCUCACUAAACAUCGGGCCCUCUUCGGGAGGAUUCGGUGCUGAAGCGAAGGCGAAGAUUGAGCUACCUGGGAAGUAUAAUCGCAAGGUCGAAACUUAAAGGAAUUGGCGGGGAGACACUACAACGAGUGACGCGUGCGGUUCAAUUAGAUCCACACCGUGAACCUCACCAGGAGCGACAGCAGGAUGAAGGUCAGUCUGAAGGGCUACCUGACACGCUGAGCGGAGAUGCAUGGCCGACGUCAGCCUGUGCUGUGAAGUGACCUGUUAAAUCAGGUAACAGGCGAGACCCGUGUCUAUAAUUACUAUCGAGAGAGGAACAUUAUGGAGACUGCCUUGGUAACAAGGAGGAAGGUGCGGGCUACGUUAGGUGAGUACAUCCCUAAUCCCCUGGGCUACACGCGCGCGGCAAUGGUAGGUUCAAUGAGAUGCAACUUCGAGAGAAGAAGCUAAUCCCCUAACACCUACCUCAGUUCAGAUCGAGGGUUGCAACCCACCCUCGUGACGCUGGAAUUCGUAGUAAUCGGGUAUUAGCAUUGCCCAGUGAAUAUGUCCCUGUCUCUUGCACACACCGCCCGUCAAACCAACCGAGUUAUGCAGAGUUGAAGUUCUUUUGAAAAAAAACUUUGUAUGACAAGGUAGGUUAAGUCGUCACAAGGU